AAAGUCGUAACAAGGUCUCCGUUGGUGAACCAGCGGAGGGAUCAUUACCGAGUUAUACAACUCCCAAACCCGUGCGAACCUUACCAAAACGUUGCUUCGGCGGUACCGCCCCGGCGCCCUCGGGCCCGGACCCAGGCGCCCGCCGGAGGCCAGCAAAACCUUCUGUUAUUCGCCCCUGGGGGCUAUCUCUGAGUGGCGCAAGCAAAACAAAUAAAUCAAAACUUUCAACAACGGAUCUCUUGGCUCUG
RNAcentral lists this unclassified non-coding RNA (248 nucleotides) under Ascomycota sp. RNAcentral's name for it is "partial contains small subunit ribosomal RNA, internal transcribed spacer 1, and 5.8S ribosomal RNA". The stretch from base 1 to 47 matches the Rfam family "Eukaryotic small subunit ribosomal RNA", at positions 1785 to 1831 of the family's 1831-position model. The record is from RNAcentral. Lineage: Eukaryota; Fungi; Ascomycota.